GCCCAAGUGGCCCGUCCUACUACUAAAUUUUGGAACUCUGACGAUGCUCUUUCCAACCGCACUGACACCUGCGGCUGUUGCUGCUGCUGCUGCAUGGCCUGCACUACUUCGGUGAGGCCUCUGACCUACUGAACUAGCAGGUCGAAUUGCUCCAUACCGACUGCCGUUACCAGGGGAGGAGGAGGAGUCUGAGAAACCGAAGAUGAGAUCGGAUCUUGCGGAGCUCGCUUAGAUCUGGUCACGGAGGCUAUGGAUCGCCGGGU
Molecule: long non-coding RNA, 263 nt
Filed under: Elaeis guineensis (African oil palm)
Lineage: Eukaryota; Viridiplantae; Streptophyta; Magnoliopsida; Arecales; Arecaceae
Description: long non-coding RNA (EGUI_LNC043276)
Source: RNAcentral